Molecule: non-coding RNA, 45 nt
Organism: Schistosoma mansoni
Lineage: Eukaryota; Metazoa; Platyhelminthes; Trematoda; Strigeidida; Schistosomatidae
Source: Rfam
AUCCAGCUGACGAGUAUCAAACAGGACGAAACGCGAGUCCUAUAU